GCUACCGAUGGUGAGAGUGGCGCACGGGUGCGUAACGCGUGAGCAACCUGCCCAUAUCAGGGGGAUAGCCCGGAGAAAUCCGGAUUAACACCGCAUGCAACCGGAGGAUGGCAUCAUCUUCCGGUUAAAUAUUCAUAGGAUAUGGAUGGGCUCGCGUGACAUUAGCUAGUUGGUGGGGUAACGGCCCACCAAGGCGACGAUGUCUAGGGGCUCUGAGAGGAGAAUCCCCCACACUGGUACUGAGACACGGACCAGACUCCUACGGGAGGCAGCAGUAAGGAAUAUUGGUCAAUGGGGGCAACCCUGAACCAGCCAUGCCGCGUGCAGGACGACUGCCCUAUGGGUUGUAAACUGCUUUUGUUAGGGAAUAAACCCCACUACGUGUAGUGGGCUGAAUGUACCUAAAGAAUAAGGAUCGGCUAACUCCGUGCCAGCAGCCGCGGUAAUACGGAGGAUCCGAGCGUUAUCCGGAUUUAUUGGGUUUAAAGGGUGCGUAGGCGGCACUUUAAGUCAGGGGUGAAAGACGGCAGCUCAACUGUCGCAGUGCCCUUGAUACUGAAGUGCUUGAAUGCGGUUGAAGACGGCGGAAUGAGACAAGUAGCGGUGAAAUGCAUAGAUAUGUCUCAGAACACCGAUUGCGAAGGCAGCUGUCUAAGCCGUUAUUGACGCUGAUGCA
This 676-nucleotide ribosomal RNA is filed under the name Sphingobacterium sp. RNAcentral's name for it is "bacterial SSU rRNA". It matches the Rfam family "Bacterial small subunit ribosomal RNA", at positions 79 to 753 of the family's 1533-position model. Lineage: Bacteria; Pseudomonadati; Bacteroidota; Sphingobacteriia; Sphingobacteriales; Sphingobacteriaceae. The record is from RNAcentral.